RNAcentral lists this ribosomal RNA (424 nucleotides) under Verrucomicrobiota bacterium. Its description in RNAcentral is "Verrucomicrobia bacterium partial 16S ribosomal RNA". It matches the Rfam family "Bacterial small subunit ribosomal RNA", at positions 355 to 776 of the family's 1533-position model. Lineage: Bacteria; Pseudomonadati; Verrucomicrobiota. The record is from RNAcentral.
UGAGGAAUAUUGGUCAAUGGGCGAGAGCCUGAACCAGCCAAGUAGCGUGCAGGAAGACGGCCCUAUGGGUUGUAAACUGCUUUUAUGUGGGGAUAAAGUGCGUGACGUGUCAUGCAUUGCAGGUACCACAUGAAUAAGGACCGGCUAAUUCCGUGCCAGCAGCCGCGGUAAUACGGAAGGUCCGGGCGUUAUCCGGAUUUAUUGGGUUUAAAGGGAGCGUAGGCUGUCUAUUAAGCGUGUUGUGAAAUAUACCGGCUCAACUGGUGGCUUGCAGCGCGAACUGGUCGACUUGAGUAUGCAGGAAGUAGGCGGAAUUCAUGGUGUAGCGGUGAAAUGCUUAGAUAUCAUGACGAACUCCGAUUGCGCAGGCAGCUUACUGUAGCAUAACUGACGCUGAUGCUCGAAAGUGCGGGUAUCAAACAGG